This 190-nucleotide small nuclear RNA is filed under the name Amphiprion percula (orange clownfish). RNAcentral describes it as "U2 spliceosomal RNA (ENSAPEG00000011786.1)". It matches the Rfam family "U2 spliceosomal RNA". Rfam says of the family: U2 is a small nuclear RNA (snRNA) component of the spliceosome (involved in pre-mRNA splicing). The record is from Rfam by way of RNAcentral. Lineage: Eukaryota; Metazoa; Chordata; Actinopteri; Pomacentridae.
AUCGCUUCUCGGCCUUUUGGCUAAGAUCAAGUGUAGUAUCUGUUCUUAUCAGUUAAUAUCUGAUAUGUCUCCAAUGUGAGGACUAUAUAUUAAACGGAUUUUUAGCACCGGGAGCUGAAAGAGGGGCUUGCUCCUUUCACUCCACGCAUCGACCUGGCACUGCAGUGCCGCCAGGAACGGUGCACCUUCU